GUUAUAUGGUCAAGCGAAUAAGCGCACACGGUGGAUGCCUUGGCGGUCAGAGGCGAUGAAGGACGUGGCAGCCUGCGAAAAGUAUCGGGGAGCUGGCAACAAGCUUUGAUCCGGUAAUGUCCGAAUGGGGAAACCCACCCGCUUGCGGGUAUCCUGCAGUGAAUACAUAGCUGCUGGAAGCGAACCUGGUGAACUGAAAUAUCUAAGUAACCAGAGGAAAAGAAAUCAACCGAGAUUCCGUAAGUAGCGACGAGCGAACGCGGACUAGCCCUUAAGCUGAUUUGGUUCUAGGAAAACGCUCUGGAAAGAGCGGCCAUAGAAGGUGAUAGCCCUGUAUCUGAAAGGGCCAUUUCAGUGAAGACGAGUAGGGCGGGGCACGUGAAACCCUGUCUGAACAUGGGGGGACCAUCCUCCAAGGCUAAAUACUACUGACCGACCGAUAGUGAACCAGUACCGUGAGGGAAAGGCGAAAAGAACCCCGGAGAGGGGAGUGAAAUAGAUCCUGAAACCGUGUGCGUACAAGCAGUAGGAGCUCCGCAAGGAGUGACUGCGUACCUUUUGUAUAAUGGGUCAGCGACUUACUGUUCGUGGCAAGCUUAACCGUAUAGGGGAGGCGAAGGGAAACCGAGUCUGAUAAGGGCGCAUAGUCGCGGGCAGUAGACCCGAAACCGGGUGAUCUAGUCAUGGCCAGGGUGAAGGUGCCGUAACAGGUACUGGAGGCCCGAACCCACGUCUGUUGCAAAAGACGGGGAUGAGCUGUGAUUAGGAGUGAAAAGCUAAUCGAACCCGGAGAUAGCUGGUUCUCCUCGAAAGCUAUUUAGGUAGCGCCUCAUAUGUAUCCUCUCGGGGGUAGAGCACUGUUAUGGCUAGGGGGUCAUCGCGACUUACCAAACCAUUGCAAACUCCGAAUACCGAGACGGACUGUAUGGGAGACACACGGCGGGUGCUAACGUCCGUCGUGAAAAGGGAAACAACCCAGACCCACAGCUAAGGUCCCAAAUUCACUGCUAAGUGGAAAACCAUGUGGAAAGGCACAGACAGCCAGGAGGUUGGCUUAGAAGCAGCCACCCUUUAAAGAAAGCGUAAUAGCUCACUGGUCGAGUCGGUCUGCGGGGAAGAUUUAACGGGGCUAAGCAGUGAACCGAAGCUUGGGGUGCAUAACUUUGUUAUGCGCGGUAGAGGAGCGUUCCGUAAGCCGUUGAAGGUGGAUUGAGAAGUCUGCUGGAGGUAUCGGAAGUGCGAAUGCUGACAUGAGUAACGAUAAUGCGGGUGAAAAACCCGCACGCCGAAAGCCCAAGGUUUCCUUGCGCAACGUUAAUCGGCGCAGGGUGAGUCGGCCCCUAAGGCGAGGACGAAAGUCGUAGUCGAUGGGAAGCAGGUUAAUAUUCCUGCACCUCGCGUAAGUGCGAUGGAGGGACGGAGAAGGUUAGGUGUACCAGGCGUUGGUUGUCCUGGGGAAAGGCGGUAGGUUUGGAUCUUUGGCAAAUCCGGGAUCCUUUAAGACCGAGCACCGAGACGAGCCUUUAUGGCGAAGUCACUGAUACCACGCUUCCAGGAAAAGCUCCUAAGCUUCAGCUUACGCAGACCGUACCGUAAACCGACACAGGUGGGUAGGAUGAGAAUUCUCAGGCGCUUGAGAGAACUCGGGUGAAGGAACUAGGCAACAUGGCACCGUAACUUCGGGAGAAGGUGCACCCUUUUUGGUGGCUCGUGCGAGCUAUAGCUGAAGAGGGUCGCAGUAACCAGGCCGCUGCGACUGUUUAUCAAAAACACAGCACUCUGCAAACACGAAAGUGGACGUAUAGGGUGUGACGCCUGCCCGGUGCUGGAAGGUUAAUUGAUGGGGUCAGCCGCAAGGCGAAGCUCUUGAUCGAAGCCCCAGUAAACGGCGGCCGUAACUAUAACGGUCCUAAGGUAGCGAAAUUCCUUGUCGGGUAAGUUCCGACCUGCACGAAUGGCGUAACGACAGCGGCGCUGUCUCCACCCGAGACUCAGUGAAAUUGAAAUCGCUGUGAAGAUGCAGCGUUCCCGUGGCAAGACGGAAAGACCCCGUGAACCUUUACUAUAGCUUUACACUGAACGUUGAGUUCGUCUGUGUAGGAUAGGUGGGAGGCUAUGAAACUGUGGCGCUAGCUGCAGUGGAGCCAUCCUUGAAAUACCACCCUGUCGUGCUUGACGUUCUAACCUGGGCCCAUUAUCUGGGUCGGGGACCGUGUAUGGUGGGUAGUUUGACUGGGGCGGUCUCCUCCUAAAGAGUAACGGAGGAGCUCGAAGGUACGCUCAGCGCGGUCGGACAUCGCGCACUGUGUGCAAAGGCAUAAGCGUGCUUGACUGCAAGAUCGACGGAUCAAGCAGGUAGGAAACUAGGACUUAGUGAUCCGGUGGUUCUGUAUGGAAGGGCCAUCGCUCAACGGAUAAAAGGUACUCCGGGGAUAACAGGCUGAUACCGCCCAAGAGUUCAUAUCGACGGCGGUGUUUGGCACCUCGAUGUCGGCUCAUCACAUCCUGGGGCUGUAGUCGGUCCCAAGGGUAUGGCUGUUCGCCAUUUAAAGUGGUACGCGAGCUGGGUUCAGAACGUCGUGAGACAGUUCGGUCCCUAUCUGCCAUGGGCGUUGGAGAUUUGAGAGGGGCUGCUCCUAGUACGAGAGGACCGGAGUGGACGAACCUCUGGUGUUCCGGUUGUCACGCCAGUGGCAUUGCCGGGUAGCUAUGUUCGGAAGCGAUAACCGCUGAAAGCAUCUAAGCGGGAAGCGCGCCUCAAGAUGAGAUCUCCCGGGGCACAAGCCCCCUGAAGGAACCAUAUAGACUAUGUGGUUGAUAGGUCAGGUGUGUAAGUACAGCAAUGUAUUGAGCUAACUGAUACUAAUGAUCCGUGUGGCUUGACCAUAUAACCU
RNAcentral lists this ribosomal RNA (2894 nucleotides) under Stenotrophomonas sp. SAU14A_NAIMI4_5. RNAcentral describes it as "23S ribosomal RNA". It matches the Rfam family "Bacterial large subunit ribosomal RNA". The record is from RNAcentral. Lineage: Bacteria; Pseudomonadati; Pseudomonadota; Gammaproteobacteria; Lysobacterales; Lysobacteraceae.